ACAGGUUAGUUCAGUUGUUAGGGUGUUUGACUCCCAGACAAAUGGUACUGGGUUCGAACCCCACAGCCUAACCUGUA
Non-coding RNA from Merluccius polli (Benguela hake), 77 nucleotides. The record is from the annotation of a GenBank genome assembly. Lineage: Eukaryota; Metazoa; Chordata; Actinopteri; Gadiformes; Merlucciidae.